Molecule: long non-coding RNA, 1566 nt
Organism: Rhododendron vialii
Lineage: Eukaryota; Viridiplantae; Streptophyta; Magnoliopsida; Ericales; Ericaceae
Exons: 2
Source: RefSeq, a predicted model, not a curated record
CUCUUUUCCACUUUUUUCCUUCCUUUCUCUCUAUUCUCUCGGCUCUCCCCCUCCGAAACUCUCCCUCAACUUCUCUCCUCGAUUUCAUCUACUUAGGGCGUGAUUUCGAACAAAGUCCAAGAAUUAAAGUUGUUAUACAGAGAGCGGGCUUCCUAUCCAUCCAAGAAAAAUUACGAUCGGGCCUCGUGGGAGCUCGGUUGGCUCGGUCAAAAGGUCGGAUUUUGCUCAAAACUCACGAGGUGUGAGAUUGAUUAUAGAUGGAUUGUGCAUAAUGAAGGAUGUUUAUGGACCUAUGAUUUGAGUGUUAUGGCUACGUGUGAUAUCGAACUUUGUAUGUAUCGUGGUGUGGCAUGUCAUAGCAUAUGGACAAUGGAUGGAGUCGUAUCCAACUUCGGAUGUCGACGAAGGUUACGGGGCCUAACACCGCCUGGAAUUCAUGUCAAUAUGGACGGAGCCUGGUUCACCUUCUUGGUGGGACCUUGGCGAGGGUUACGGGGCCCAAUAUUGCCCGGUGCAUUGCUUUGCAUCACAUAUCACGCAUUGUUGAUUGGUUGAGCUAGACUUAUGACCUGUGUUGCUUGAGAACUGAAAACAGAGAUAAAGUUGUUAAUCUAAUGUUUGGCUUGUCAUUCGACUUUGAACUAUAUCUUGGAUUACUAUCCUUCCUCAUUGAGCCUCUUGUUCGGUAAUUGAAUAUAACAUGUUUUCAUGUAUUUCAUUUCAAGAUUUCUCUACGAGCUAGUGAGCUCACCCUAUCUUAACAUUUUUGGGUACAAAUCAAGAAAACUAGUUCUUGUUGCAUGGAGUGGCUAAUACUUGAGAAAUAAAAAAUAAAUCAAUUAUGUUCAAAAAGGGAAAUCCAAUGAUAUGUUCGUGUUGUUCUGCCGAUAGAUAUACUCAUUGUUAUUAGCAUCUUGGAGUUUGUUGUACAUAUAUAAUGUUGCUCACAUACCACUGUUGGUGCAUGAUCAUCACAUAUUUGUAUAGAUCGAGGCAGAAUGGAGUAAUUGCGUAACGAUGGACAAAUGACAGUUGAGGACAAGUUGUGGUCUAAUUGGAAUAAUUCCAAUCGAUUUUUGCUUCUAGUUUGAUGUGUGAGCUAUUAGGGUUAUUUUUAUGAAAUCAUGAUUCCCUGGUUGUAGUAUGCUCGUUCGUGAUGGAAGACCCAUAUUUCUUUGUAGAUCUCGUCGUAUUCACUCACUCUAGGUGCAUGAUUCAUCACAUUUUCAUAUAGCUUGUAUAUAGAUUUCCCUGCUGGGCUAGUGUAGCUCACCCUAUCAUUUUCAGGUAUGAUUCAAGAAUGUUGGCAUGGAGUGCUUGUUGUGCAUUUGUGACCAAACCUUUAAAAGGUAUUCAAGAAGGAUUUCAUAGCACAAGAUCUGAAAUAGCACUUUUAGGAAAGAUAUUAUUUGUAAAUUGUAAUAUUAUUUCCGUAAGAUACUGGUAUUUUGAUGACUUGGGGCCUUCGAGUUGGAAAUGUAAUAUUUGAAUUUUAUUUGAGAAUAAUGAACAGAAAGGUCUUUUGGGGUAUUAUUUAUAUUACAGUGAGGACUUUAUUUAUUAAAA